RNAcentral lists this ribosomal RNA (509 nucleotides) under uncultured Actinomycetes bacterium. Its description in RNAcentral is "bacterial SSU rRNA". It matches the Rfam family "Bacterial small subunit ribosomal RNA", at positions 223 to 744 of the family's 1533-position model. The record is from RNAcentral. Lineage: Bacteria; Bacillati; Actinomycetota; Actinomycetes.
GGAUGAGCCCGCGGCCUAUCAGCUUGUUGGUGGGGUAAUGGCCUACCAAGGCUUCGACGGGUAGCCGGCCUGAGAGGGUGACCGGCCACACUGGGACUGAGACACGGCCCAGACUCCUACGGGAGGCAGCAGUGGGGAAUAUUGGACAAUGGGCGAAAGCCUGAUCCAGCAACGCCGCGUGAGGGAUGACGGCCUUCGGGUUGUAAACCUCUUUCAGCACAGACGAAGCGCAAGUGACGGUAUGUGCAGAAGAAGCACCGGCCAACUACGUGCCAGCAGCCGCGGUAAUACGUAGGGUGCGAGCGUUGUCCGGAAUUAUUGGGCGUAAAGGGCUCGUAGGCGGUUUGUUGCGUCAGGAGUGAAAACUCGGGGCUUAACCCCGAGCCUGCUUCUGAUACGGGCAGACUUGAGGUGUGCAGGGGAGAACGGAAUUCCUGGUGUAGCGGUGAAAUGCGCAGAUAUCAGGAGGAACACCGGUGGCGAAGGCGGUUCUCUGGGCAUUACCUGAC